This 371-nucleotide ribosomal RNA is filed under the name uncultured bacterium. Its description in RNAcentral is "bacterial SSU rRNA". It matches the Rfam family "Bacterial small subunit ribosomal RNA", at positions 525 to 896 of the family's 1533-position model. The record is from RNAcentral.
ACGUAGGGUGCAAGCGUUAAUCGGAAUUACUGGGCGUAAAGCGUGCGCAGGCGGUUUUGCAAGACAGGUGUGAAAUCCCCGGGCUUAACCUGGGAGCUGCAUUUGUGACUGUAAAACUAGAGUAUGGUAGAGGGGGAUGGAAUUCCGCGUGUAGCAGUGAAAUGCGUAGAUAUGCGGAGGAACACCGAUGGCGAAGGCAAUCCCCUGGGCCUGUACUGACGCUCAUGCACGAAAGCGUGGGGAGCAAACAGGAUUGGAUACCCUGGUAGUCCACGCCCUAAACGAUGUCAACUGGUUGUUGGAUGGCUUGCCGUUCAGUAACGAAGCUAACGCGUGAAGUUGACCGCCUGGGGAGUACGGCCGCAAGGUUG